AUGAGUGAUGUGAUUACAUUGUACCAGACAUGCGACUGCAGCAGCUUAGUGUAUGAGUAUGUGCCCUGCAACAGCAAUUAUCUAGUUACUUUAACAGGACUAGCUACUUUUGAACAAUCAGGUAGUUCACACUUCACAGUAUGCAGUUCUACUUAUAUUGAGCUUCUUCAUUUCCUAGAUGCAACAGGUUGUCCAUGUUGUGUGUUUCAAUUCUUUGAUUCACCUGUAUUUUCAUUUCAGCAGGUUGUCCAUGUUGUGUGUUCCAUAUGGAUUAGACGCCGUCGACUACUUUGUCUUGAAUGCCGUGGCUCCUCGUUGGGUCUUUAG
This 327-nucleotide ribosomal RNA is filed under the name Triticum aestivum (bread wheat). RNAcentral's name for it is "partial small subunit ribosomal RNA". Lineage: Eukaryota; Viridiplantae; Streptophyta; Magnoliopsida; Poales; Poaceae. The record is from RNAcentral.